Eleginops maclovinus (Patagonian blennie) is the source of this 1389-nucleotide RNA transcript. RefSeq lists it as uncharacterized. The record is from RefSeq and is a predicted model, not a curated record. The transcript is spliced from 5 exons. Lineage: Eukaryota; Metazoa; Chordata; Actinopteri; Perciformes; Eleginopidae.
AGCUGAGCAGUACGGAGGUCUUCAGCUCAUUUGUGUGGGGAGCUGUGGCCUACACACGCUACACAAUGCUUUCAAGUGUGGGUUCACUGCAUGGCUGCUGGACAAGUUGCUGAGAGCAAUGCACACAUUGUUUAACAAUGUGCCUGCCAGGAGAGAGGAUUACGUCACCGUAACCAAGUCCAGUGUGUUACCCCUUUCUUUCUGUGCCCAUCUUUGGGUAGAAAACCUUCCGGUUGUGGAGAGAGCCCUGGUAGUCUGGCCAUCACUUCUUCUGUACAUGGAAGCUGUGAAAACAAAAAAACUCCCUAACCCUGGAACAGGAUCUUAUGACACAGUUGCAGCAGCCAUAAAGGAUCCACUAAUUCUGGCCAAAUUUCACUUCUACGCAGCACUUGCCAGGACCUUCACGCCCUUCCUAACAAAAUAUCAAACAGACGAGCCGGUGCUCCCAUUCCUCUCCAAGGACCUGACCGAAUUGAUGAUAGGGAUGUCAUACUGCAGCAGUUUGACAGUCUCCUGUCCUUGGAGAGCCGGAGUGAGGACUUCCUCUACUUUGCUCCCAUGCAGAAGAGGCUGGACAUCUUCCUGAGCAGUGCCAUGGAGCCUUAUCCAGAGCUGUGGGCCUUCUGCAAGAAGCUGCUCAUCCUCUCCCACGGCCAAGCUACUGUUGAACGUGGAUUCUCCAUCAAUAAAGAGGUGGAGUCAGAUCAUUUGCAUGAGGACACUGUGGUCACACGGAGGCUGGUGUGUGACUACAUUAUACAACAUGGAGGUGUUACCAAGGUUCCACUCAGUAAACCACUACUGACAAGUGUAGCAAGAGCAAGGACAAGGUAUCGUAUCCACCUUGAGAACGAAAGAAAGAAGAGGGAGGCAAAAGACCAGGCUCUCAAGAGGAAGGAGGCAGAGGACUGUCUGCAGGAGCUGAAGGUGAAGAGGAUACGCGUAAAGGAGGUAUCUGAGGGUCUGGCUAGGGAUGCGGACAGGCUGGCUGAGCAGGCUGAAGCAAAGGCAGGGAGCAAAAUGGCUGACCUGAUCUCCAGGUCCAACCUCCUGCGGAGAGGCCAUAAGGAGAAGUUGGCAGAACUGGCUCUCCUUGAUAAAGAGAUUGCUGCUAAAAGUGAAGAGCUUAGGAGUUGACUUUGAUCUUUAUUUUAUUUAUUGUUGAGUUGAUUUUCUUUGUUUGUUGUUCUGGAGUCUCUACUCCCCAUAUUCCCAGCAUGGAAUAAGCUAGCUAAUAAAUAGAUUUGUCACACCUCUGUUUGACUUGUUGUCUGUGGUCUGUGCUGUGAUGCUGUGGUGUUGUACUCACUAUUCACUACUGUGCUGCAAGUUACAUAAUUCUUCCAUAAGGCUUUACAGUCCACAUUUUCACAUUUGUUUGAGAAA